This 73-nucleotide transfer RNA is filed under the name Ailuropoda melanoleuca (giant panda). It matches the Rfam family "tRNA". Rfam says of the family: Transfer RNA (tRNA) molecules are approximately 80 nucleotides in length. Their secondary structure includes four short double-helical elements and three loops (D, anti-codon, and T loops). The record is from Rfam by way of RNAcentral. Lineage: Eukaryota; Metazoa; Chordata; Mammalia; Carnivora; Ursidae.
GCCUGGCUGGCUCAGUCGGAAGAGCGUGAGGCUCUUGAUCUCCGGGUCGUGAGUUCGAGCCCCACGUGGGGUG